AGCAAAAAGGCAUUGGCAGCACAGGAAGCAGCUGCUAGUACUACACUUCCUGGCCAAGGAACCACCAUAAAUGUUGCUGAUGCAUCAGGGAACACUAAGAAAGGAUGCUGUUCCACUUAAAAAAGUGAUUGGUUAUAUUUGAGGAAGGGAAAAAUAUUUGCUAGCAAGCAGGCCUUUUUUUUUUUUUUUUAUUUCUCCCUUUAUUUUUUUCUUUUUCCCACCCUUUUUCAAUUUUUGGCUGAGAGAGACACAUGUAGAAUACUUGUUUUUACUUAAAUGAGUUGUGAUAAGGAAGCUUGUGAUAUUUUAAACAACCAUAUUGGUGUUUGUAGGAUGGAAAAGGCCUGCUUUUCCUCUGCUCGUCUCUCAACAUGUUUACCUUAAAAAGUGG
This 391-nucleotide long non-coding RNA is filed under the name Theobroma cacao (cacao). RNAcentral's name for it is "long non-coding RNA (TCAC_LNC005677)". The record is from RNAcentral. Lineage: Eukaryota; Viridiplantae; Streptophyta; Magnoliopsida; Malvales; Malvaceae.